Molecule: long non-coding RNA, 251 nt
Filed under: Helianthus annuus (common sunflower)
Lineage: Eukaryota; Viridiplantae; Streptophyta; Magnoliopsida; Asterales; Asteraceae
Description: hypothetical non coding rna
Source: RNAcentral
CCGCUAACACCACCAUCUCCCACACAACCGAUCGACCAUCAAACCACCCUCUCCCACCACCCCUUCAACCUGCACCACUCGGCUAACACCACCGUCUCCCCACCACUGAUCGACCAUCCCUGCAACCUGCACCAUCCGGCUAACACCACCGCACCAUCAACCACACCUAACUAUUUUUUGAAAUGGUUUCGCUACGUUGCAAAGAGGGCGACGAUGGUGGUAGCAACGGCGUAGGUGGUUGUGGUGGUUAG